This 499-nucleotide ribosomal RNA is filed under the name Acrobeloides sp. Sourhope farm. Its description in RNAcentral is "SSU rRNA". It matches the Rfam family "Eukaryotic small subunit ribosomal RNA", at positions 45 to 542 of the family's 1831-position model. Lineage: Eukaryota; Metazoa; Nematoda; Chromadorea; Rhabditida; Cephalobidae. The record is from RNAcentral.
UAAGCCAUGCAUGUCUAAGUAUAAACGAUUUAAUCGUGAAACCGCGAAUGGCUCAUUAUAACAGCUAUAAUUUACUUGAUCUUGACACAAUCCUACUUGGAUAACUGUGGUAAUUCUAGAGCUAAUACAUGCAUUAAAGCUCUGACCUCACGGGAAGAGUGCAUUUAUUAGAACAAAACCAAGCGGCUUCGGCUGUUUCUGGUUGACUCAUAGUAACUGAGCUGAUCGCAUGGUCUUGCACCGGCGACGUGUCUUUCAAGUAUCUGCCGUAUCAACUUUCGAUGGUAGUGUAUCUGACUACCAUGGUGAUCACGCGUAACGGAGAAUAAGGGUUCGGCUCCGGAGAGUUCGCCUGAGAAAUCGCGAACACAUCUAAGGAAGGCAGCAGGCGCGAAAAUUACCCACUCUCAGCACGAGGAGGUAGUGACGAAAAAUAACGAGACCGUUCUCUUAUGAGGCCGGUCAUCGGAAUGGGUACAAUUUCAACCCUUUAACGAGU